AAACUUUCAACAACGGAUCUCUUGGUUCCAGCAUCGAUGAAGAACGCAGCGAAAUGCGAUAAGUAAUGUGAAUUGCAGAAUUCAGUGAAUCAUCGAAUCUUUGAACGCACAUUGCGCCCUCUGGUAUUCCGGGGGGCAUGCCUGUUCGAGCGUCAUUACACCCCUCACGCCUAGCGUGGUAUUGGACUCGCCCGCAGCGGCUUGUCUUAAAGUCAGUGGCGGCUUCGUAGAACCCCUAAG
RNAcentral lists this ribosomal RNA (240 nucleotides) under Coccomyces mucronatus. RNAcentral describes it as "5.8S ribosomal RNA". The stretch from base 2 to 155 matches the Rfam family "5.8S ribosomal RNA". From Rfam's summary of the family: 5.8S ribosomal RNA (5.8S rRNA) is a component of the large subunit of the eukaryotic ribosome. It is transcribed by RNA polymerase I as part of the 45S precursor that also contains 18S and 28S rRNA. The record is from RNAcentral. Lineage: Eukaryota; Fungi; Ascomycota; Leotiomycetes; Rhytismatales; Rhytismataceae.